GCGGAGGUGGUGAAACUGGCAAACACGCGGGCCUCAGGAGCCCGUGCCGAAAGGCUUGGGGGUUCAACUCCCCCCCUCCGCACCA
This 85-nucleotide transfer RNA is filed under the name Candidatus Omnitrophota bacterium. RNAcentral's name for it is "Candidatus Omnitrophica bacterium (groundwater metagenome) tRNA-Leu". It matches the Rfam family "tRNA". Rfam says of the family: Transfer RNA (tRNA) molecules are approximately 80 nucleotides in length. Their secondary structure includes four short double-helical elements and three loops (D, anti-codon, and T loops). Further hydrogen bonds mediate the characteristic L-shaped molecular structure. tRNAs have two regions of fundamental functional importance: the anti-codon, which is responsible for specific mRNA codon recognition, and the 3' end, to which the tRNAs corresponding amino acid is attached (by aminoacyl-tRNA synthetases). tRNAs cope with the degeneracy of the genetic code in two manners: having more than one tRNA (with a specific anti-codon) for a particular amino acid; and 'wobble' base-pairing, i.e. permitting non-standard base-pairing at the 3rd anti-codon position. The record is from RNAcentral. Lineage: Bacteria; Pseudomonadati; Candidatus Omnitrophota.